Triticum aestivum (bread wheat) is the source of this 91-nucleotide non-coding RNA. NCBI's taxonomy places the organism in Eukaryota, Viridiplantae, Streptophyta, Magnoliopsida, Poales, Poaceae. The record is from Rfam.
GGGGCUGUGGCGCAGUUUGCUAGCGCGUAGGUCUCAUAGCUAAAUUAUGCGAGUGAUCCUGAGGUCGAGAGUUCGAGCCUCUCUCGCCCCA